UACGUAGGGUGCGAGCGUUAAUCGGAAUUACUGGGCGUAAAGCGUGCGCAGGCGGUUUUGUAAGCCAGAUGUGAAAUCCCCGGGCUUAACCUGGGAAUGGCAUUUGGGACUGCAAGGCUGGAGUGUGGCAGAGGAGACUGGAAUUCCUGGUGUAGCAGUGAAAUGCGUAGAUAUCAGGAGGAAUACCGAUGGCGAAGGCAGGUCUCUGGGCUGACACUGACGCUCAUGCACGAAGGCGUGGGGAGCAAACAGG
RNAcentral lists this ribosomal RNA (253 nucleotides) under uncultured bacterium. RNAcentral's name for it is "partial 16S ribosomal RNA". It matches the Rfam family "Bacterial small subunit ribosomal RNA", at positions 524 to 776 of the family's 1533-position model. The record is from RNAcentral.